UACGUAGGGGGCAAGCGUUGUCCGGAUUUAUUGGGCGUAAAGAGCGUGUAGGCGGCCAUACAGGUCCGUUGUGAAAACUGGAGGCUUAACCUCCAGACGUCGAUGGAAACCGUAUGGCUAGAGUCCGGAAGGGGAGAGUGGAAUUCCUGGUGUAGCGGUGAAAUGCGCAGAUAUCAGGAAGAACACCCGUGGCGAAGGCGGCUCUCUGGGACGGUACUGACGCUGAGACGCGAAAGCGUGGGGAGCGAACAGG
RNAcentral lists this ribosomal RNA (253 nucleotides) under uncultured bacterium. RNAcentral's name for it is "partial 16S ribosomal RNA". It matches the Rfam family "Bacterial small subunit ribosomal RNA", at positions 524 to 776 of the family's 1533-position model. The record is from RNAcentral.